CACGAGGUGGCCAAGUGGGUAAGGCAAUGGACUGGACUCCAUUGUGCUCUCCCUCAUGGGUUUGAAUCCCAUUCUCAUCG
RNAcentral lists this transfer RNA (80 nucleotides) under Lepisosteus oculatus (spotted gar). It matches the Rfam family "tRNA". From Rfam's summary of the family: Transfer RNA (tRNA) molecules are approximately 80 nucleotides in length. Their secondary structure includes four short double-helical elements and three loops (D, anti-codon, and T loops). Further hydrogen bonds mediate the characteristic L-shaped molecular structure. tRNAs have two regions of fundamental functional importance: the anti-codon, which is responsible for specific mRNA codon recognition, and the 3' end, to which the tRNAs corresponding amino acid is attached (by aminoacyl-tRNA synthetases). tRNAs cope with the degeneracy of the genetic code in two manners: having more than one tRNA (with a specific anti-codon) for a particular amino acid; and 'wobble' base-pairing, i.e. permitting non-standard base-pairing at the 3rd anti-codon position. Lineage: Eukaryota; Metazoa; Chordata; Actinopteri; Semionotiformes; Lepisosteidae. The record is from Rfam by way of RNAcentral.